This 1595-nucleotide long non-coding RNA is filed under the name Capsicum annuum. Its description in RNAcentral is "long non-coding RNA (CANN_LNC020073)". The record is from RNAcentral. Lineage: Eukaryota; Viridiplantae; Streptophyta; Magnoliopsida; Solanales; Solanaceae.
GUAGGAAGAUGUGGCGAGAUGCACACACAAGAAGAAGCUAGUUGUGGACUUCAGUAUGCAUAAAAAUACUCAAACGAUGUGCACGGCAAAAAUAAAUCUCGAUGAUCCAUGGAUCGUGAUGACAGUGAUGAGUCAUGUGGAAUUUAGUUCGAGGGGGAGAUUGUUGGGCAUGUGAACAAACGUCCUACAUUGGUAGCUAAAAAGAUCGAUCGAAAAGCUACAUUUAAGGGGUAAAAUCUCUUAACGGUGAAAGACCUUUUGGGGAAAAUCGUGCAGGCUAGAUCCAAAACGGACAAUAUCGCACCAUGAAAAAGUAUAGGUAAAUAUUUUUCAAAUUGGAGGGAUGGAGGGAAUAAAUCUUUUUGGUUGUUGAAAAUGGCAUAUAUAAUAUAAAUAUUCAUUCAUAAAUUUACAAUUGACAUAGGAAUCAAUGUUUCACUUUCCAUGGAAAAGUUUAUUAAUAGUUCAAAAGUGUUUGGCAAUUACUUUUCAAAUGGUGGAAAUCUUGAUAUCCAUGGAAAAGAAUAGCGGAAGGAAAAAUCAAGUAUUUUCAGAAACAAAUUACCGUCGGCGUUAAGUCUGGCGUUUAUUUUACAUUGAAAUUAAAUCAUUUGUUGGUAACAUUAAAGUCAUAAAAUUCUUAGCUAUAGAAAUUUCAAAGAAAGCUACAUCACAGAAAUUCAUUCAAUUUGAUGUAUAAUCCCAACGCUUGCAAUUAAUUUAUUUAUGUGGAUCAAUUUUAUUAAAAAGAGAAUACUUUACUGUGAUCUAAUCAAGCAUAUUUAAAUAGCUAAAAGAGUAGGAAAAUGAAGCCAAGAAAGACUCUGUAAGUCAUGCUGUUGAAAUUUCAUUUGAAAACUACAACACACAAAAAUGAAGUCAAGAAAGCCUUUUUAAUUCUUAUCCUGGUUUUAUGUUUAUAUUUGUGGUCUGCAGCAGUUCACUCUCUCUCCCACACGCCCACGCUCGCGCGCACACCCACACCCACACAUAUAUUUGUUAAUCCUGCUGCAUCAUGUCACCACUUGUUCUUGUUCUUUCCUAAGAAGCAACCGAAGCUCUGAGCUAGCCGGUGCUCCCCGGUAACUCGCUCUCCCUCCUGCUUUUCCUUUGGCCGGAGCUAGUGGAUGAACCCCCCUUCGCCGGAAGAUCACACUCUAUGUAUGAGGUCAACGAAACCCCCUUCGCCGGAGAAUCACACUCUGUAUAUGAGGUCAACUUUGUUUCUUUUUUGGUUAUGUAUGUAUAAUUGAUGUUUUCCUGAGCCAACAGUCUACAGGAAACAACCUGGUGUGCAUACACUUGGCCCUCUCCAGACUCCACUUUGUAGGAUUAUGUUGGGUUUGUUGUUAUGUAUGUUUAAUAGACGUUGAACUCCUUUGGUGAAAAUCUUGCCUCUACCACCGCUGUAACGCCCCGUAAAAUUUCGUGCAAUGCGUUACCAUGUAAUAGCAUGUGCAUAGGAUAAGAAGCUUAAAAAUUGUGAAAAAUAUUUUUAAGUGUUAAUGAGACUUAGACUCAUUUUAACUAGUAAUCAUCGGAACUUUUAUUUUGGACCUUUCCGACCUCCAUUUUUAGAUUUUGUUGUUGCGUUG